This 431-nucleotide ribosomal RNA is filed under the name uncultured bacterium. Its description in RNAcentral is "partial 16S ribosomal RNA". It matches the Rfam family "Bacterial small subunit ribosomal RNA", at positions 29 to 507 of the family's 1533-position model. The record is from RNAcentral.
AACGAACGCUGGCGGCAGGCCUAACACAUGCAAGUCGAGCGCCCCGCAAGGGGAGCGGCGGACGGGUGAGUAACGCGUGGGAAUAUGCCCUUUGCUACGGACUAGUCUCGGGAAACUGGGGGUAAUACCGUAUACGCCCUUUGGGGGAAAGGUUUAUCGGCGAAGGAUUAGCCCGCGUUGGAUUAGGUAGUUGGUGGGGUAAUGGCCUACCAAGCCGACGAUCCAUAGCUGGUUUGAGAGGAUGAUCAGCCACACUGGGACUGAGACACGGCCCAGACUCCUACGGGAGGCAGCAGAGGGGAAUCUUAGACAAUGGGGGCAACCCUGAUCUAGCCAUGCCGCGUGAGUGAUGAAGGCCUUAGGGUUGUAAAGCUCUUUCAGCUGGGAAGAUAAUGACGGUACCAGCAGAAGAAGCCCCGGCUAACUCCGUG